UUAUAUUAGGUCUGUGGUUGAAAGUCGAAGCCAGCCGCAGGCGAAGCGAUCCACGUAAGUCAGACAAAGUCUGAUGAGCAUGGUGCGGUUUAGGGGUAAGACCUGCCGCCUUAGGGCGAGAGGGGCUAUAGUGAGAGGAAUACACCUUAAGCAAAACCUCCAGCAGGCGAGUGUGGGGGCAAAAACCAGGUCAGCUAAUAUAA
RNAcentral lists this non-coding RNA (203 nucleotides) under unclassified sequences. RNAcentral describes it as "raiA RNA". It matches the Rfam family "raiA RNA". The record is from Rfam by way of RNAcentral.